RNAcentral lists this ribosomal RNA (880 nucleotides) under Nematoda environmental sample. RNAcentral describes it as "SSU rRNA". It matches the Rfam family "Eukaryotic small subunit ribosomal RNA", at positions 111 to 1002 of the family's 1831-position model. Lineage: Eukaryota; Metazoa; Nematoda. The record is from RNAcentral.
UAUAAUUUACUUGAAUUUGACAACCCUACUUGGAUACCGGUGGUAAUUCUAGCGCUAAUACAUGCGCCAAAGCUCCGACCGCGAGGGAAGAGCGCAUUUAUUAGAACAAAACCACACGGCUUCGGCCGUCCAAUGUUGACUCAGAAUAACUAAGCUGAUCGCAUGGUCUUGCACCGGCGACGUUUCUUUCAAGUAUCUGCCUUAUCAACUUUCGAUGGUAGUGUAUCUGACUACCAUGGUGAUGACGGGUAACGGAGGAUAAGGGUUCGACUCCGGAGAAGGGGCCUGAGAAAUGGCCACUACGUCUAAGGAUGGCAGCAGGCGCGCAAAUUACCCACUCUCAGUACGAGGAGGUAGUGACGAGAAAUAACAAGACCGUUCUCACAAGAGGCCGGUCAUUGGAAUGGGUACAAUUUAAACCCUUUAACGAGUAUCUAUGAGAGGGCAAGUCUGGUGCCAGCAGCCGCGGUAAUUCCAGCUCUCAAAAUGCAUAGAAUUAUUGCUGCGGUUAAAAAGCUCGUAGUUGGAUCUGUGCUGGCCUCCCGGUCCACCUCCGGGUGCGCACUGGGCAGGUUGGCUUUUCUGUCGUUUACGCGGAUGUUCCUAACGGGGCAACCGCAUCGCGACAAUUUUACCUUGAACAAAUCAGAGUGCUCAAAACAGGCGUUUCGCUUGAAUGUUCGUGCAUGGAAUAAUAGAAGAGGAUUUCGGUUCUAUUUUAUUGGUUUUAUAGACUGAGAUAAUGGUUAACAGAGACAAACGGGGGCAUUCGUAUUGCUGCGUGAGAGGUGAAAUUCUUGGACCGUAGCAAGACGGACUACAGCGAAAGCAUUUGCCAAGAAUGUCUUCAUUAAUCAAGAACGAAAGUCAGAGGUUCGAA